UAGGGCGUAGCUUAAAAGCAAAGCAACUCAUUUACACCGAGUCGACUGUUCGAUCAAACCGAGCCUCCCUAA
This 72-nucleotide transfer RNA is filed under the name Parapercis sexfasciata (grubfish). RNAcentral describes it as "tRNA-Val". It matches the Rfam family "tRNA". From Rfam's summary of the family: Transfer RNA (tRNA) molecules are approximately 80 nucleotides in length. Their secondary structure includes four short double-helical elements and three loops (D, anti-codon, and T loops). The record is from RNAcentral. Lineage: Eukaryota; Metazoa; Chordata; Actinopteri; Uranoscopiformes; Pinguipedidae.